Molecule: ribosomal RNA, 910 nt
Filed under: Massarina sp. MUT 4863
Lineage: Eukaryota; Fungi; Ascomycota; Dothideomycetes; Pleosporales; Massarinaceae
Description: SSU rRNA
Rfam family: Eukaryotic small subunit ribosomal RNA
Source: RNAcentral
UAUACCGUGAAACUGCGAAUGGCUCAUUAAAUCAGUUAUCGUUUAUUUGAUAGUACCUUACUACUUGGAUAACCGUGGUAAUUCUAGAGCUAAUACAUGCUAAAAACCCCGACUUCGGGAGGGGUGUAUUUAUUAGAUAAAAAACCAAUGCCCUUCUGGGCUCUUUGGUGAUUCAUGAUAACUUAACGGAUCGCAUGGCCUUGCGCCGGCGACGGUUCAUUCAAAUUUCUGCCCUAUCAACUUUCGAUGGUAAGGUAUUGGCUUACCAUGGUUUCAACGGGUAACGGGGAAUUAGGGUUCGAUUCCGGAGAGGGAGCCUGAGAAACGGCUACCACAUCCAAGGAAGGCAGCAGGCGCGCAAAUUACCCAAUCCCGACACGGGGAGGUAGUGACAAUAAAUACUGAUACAGGGCUCUUUUGGGUCUUGUAAUCGGAAUGAGUACAAUUUAAACCCCUUAACGAGGAACAAUUGGAGGGCAAGUCUGGUGCCAGCAGCCGCGGUAAUUCCAGCUCCAAUAGCGUAUAUAAAGUUGUUGCAGUUAAAAAGCUCGUAGUUGAACCUUGGGCCUGGCUGGCCGGUCCGCCUCACCGCGUGUACUGGUCCGGCCGGGCCUUUCCUUCUGGUGAGCCUCAUGCCCUUCACUGGGUGUGCUGGGGAACCAGGACUUUUACUGUGAACAAAUUAGAGUGUUCAAAGCAGGCCUUUGCUCGAAUACAUUAGCAUGGAAUAAUAGAAUAGGACGUGCGGUCCUAUUUUGUUGGUUUCUAGGACCGCCGUAAUGAUAAUAGGGAUAGUCGGGGCAUCAGUAUUCAAUGUCAGAGUGAAUUCUGAUUAUGAGACUACUACUGCGAAGCAUUGCCAGAUGUUUCAUAUCAGUGACGAAGUAGGGAUCGAAACAAUCAAAUACCG